GAUGAAGAACGUAGCGAAAUGCGAUAAGUAAUGUGAAUUGCAGAAUUCAGUGAAUCAUCGAAUCUUUGAACGCAUCUUGCGCUCCUUGUUAUUCUGAGGAGCAUGCCUGUUUGAGUGUCAUUAAAUUCUCAACCGCACUGACUUUGAAUUGGUGUGGCUUGGAUUUGGGGGGAAAAUUGUUGUGGGCUUUUUUGUAUAGUCUGCUCCCCUGAAAUUGAUUAGCGGUACCUUUGUGGAACUGUCUACAGGUGUGAUAAUUAUCUACAUCCUAGACAUCUGCUGGAAUGCUGCUUUCUAAACCUUACUUGUAUUGACAAUCUUGACCUCAAAUCAGGUAGGACUACCCGCUGAACUUAAGCAUAUCAAUAAGCGGAGGA
This 377-nucleotide unclassified non-coding RNA is filed under the name soil metagenome. RNAcentral describes it as "partial contains 5.8S ribosomal RNA, internal transcribed spacer 2, and large subunit ribosomal RNA". The stretch from base 1 to 120 matches the Rfam family "5.8S ribosomal RNA", at positions 35 to 154 of the family's 154-position model. The record is from RNAcentral.